This 625-nucleotide ribosomal RNA is filed under the name uncultured fungus. RNAcentral's name for it is "eukaryotic LSU rRNA". It matches the Rfam family "Eukaryotic large subunit ribosomal RNA", at positions 24 to 664 of the family's 3401-position model. The record is from RNAcentral. Lineage: Eukaryota; Fungi.
CCCGCUGAACUUAAGCAUAUCAAUAAGCGGAGGAAAAGAAACCAACAGGGAUUGCCUCAGUAACGGCGAGUGAAGCGGCAAUUGCUCAAAUUUGAAAUCUGACUUCUUUUGAGGGUCCGAAUUGUAAUUUGCAGAGGAAGCUUCGGUGAGGGUAUAGACUCAAGUCCCCUGGAAUGGGAUGUCAUAGAGGGUGAGAACCCCGUCCGGUCAAAUGCCCAAACCAUGUGUUGCUCCUUCGACGAGUCGAGUUGUUUGGGAAUGCAGCUCAAAAUUGGUGGUAAAUUCCAUCUAAGGCUAAAUACUGGCCAGAGACCGAUAGCGCACAAGUAGAGUGAUCGAAAGAUGAAAAGCACUUUGAAAAGAGAGUUAAAAAGCACGUGAAAUUGUUGAAAGGGAAGCGCUUGCGGUCAGACCUUUACCAUGGUUGUUCAACCGAUCAUUUUUGAUCGGCUCACUCUUCUAUGGUAGGGCCAGCAUCGGUUUGAAUGGUCGGAUAAAGGCCCUAAGAAUGUAGCCCUUCGUGGGUGUUAUAGCUUUGGGUGCAAUGUGAUCUAUUCAGACCGAGGGAAGCGAAUUUUCCAGGAUGCUGGCAUAAUGGUUGCAAGCGGCCCGUCUUGAAACACGG